Molecule: ribosomal RNA, 774 nt
Filed under: uncultured Neocallimastigales
Lineage: Eukaryota; Fungi; Neocallimastigomycota; Neocallimastigomycetes; Neocallimastigales
Description: partial large subunit ribosomal RNA
Rfam family: Eukaryotic large subunit ribosomal RNA
Source: RNAcentral
UAUGUGAUCGUCUCUCGCAUAUCAAUAAGCGGAGGAAAAGAAACUAACAAGGAUUCCCCUAGUAACGGCGAGUGAAGCGGGAAGAGCUCAAAUUUGAAAUCUUAAAGGGUUUCCCUUUACGAAUUGUAGUUUAAAGAAGUGUUUUCUGUUGAGGUUUUGGUAAAAGUUCUUUGGAAUAGGACAUCAUAGAGGGUGAGAAUCCCGUAUUUGACCUUUACUUUCAACUUUGUGAUACACUUUCAAAGAGUCGGAUUGUUUGGGAAUGCAGUCCAAAAUGGGUGGUAAAUUUCAUCUAAAGCUAAAUAUUGGCGAGAGACCGAUAGCGAACAAGUACCGUGAGGGAAAGAUGAAAAGAACUUUGAAAAGAGAGUUAAACAGUACGUGAAAUUGUCAAAAGGGAAGCGUUUGACACCAGUGUUGUUUUUCUGAAAAUCAAUUAAAGAACUGUUUAUGCUAAGUUGUUUAGACUUUACCAGCUAACUGUUUAGUUUUGAGCUUUUCUUUAAUGCACUUUUCAGUUAACAAGUCAACAUCAAUUUCUUUUGCUGUAAAAAAGCUUGAGGAAGGUGGCUUGAGAUUCGUCUUAAGUGUUUAUAGCCUCUUGCCUAUGCAGUCGGAGAGAUUGAGGUCUGCAGCGUAGAUCCUUCGGGGCUAAAUGCAUUUGUGCUAAGUUAUAGCAUUUUAUAGACAACUUGUUGACUAUGAUUUGUCUUGUAGCUUACUCGCUUAUGUUAUUUUACCUACGCUUAGGAUGUUGAUAUGCAUGACUGAUAU